Biomphalaria pfeifferi is the source of this 343-nucleotide non-coding RNA. The record is from the annotation of a GenBank genome assembly. Lineage: Eukaryota; Metazoa; Mollusca; Gastropoda; Planorbidae.
UGAGGUCUCUACUUGACAGUUGUGUCUAAAAGUUGUAUGUAUUGCUUGAGAUUUAGGUCUAAUAGCUGUAUGCAGUACUGCUAAACAAUCACAUUGUACUUGCCAUGCAAUAUUUAAUAAUAGCAAAUGAGGUCAUUAUGAUCAUCAGUCAUUUAGAAAUAAGGUAAAGCAGUGAUUCAGCCCAAUAAUGCCCAAUAUCCACUGCCUAAUUUGUAUUUCAAAGUUUUUCACAUUAUUAUCAGAAAAAUAUAUUAGUUGUUUAAAUCAUAUUGUGACAAAUAUUAUUAUUCAUUUGAAAAAUACAUGACAACUGUACUUUUUUUUUUUUUACUAGAUUUCAAUG